GAUCUGCCAGUCUCCGCCUCCCAAAGUGCUGGGAUUACCGAGUUUCUGUGGGAAAUGAGAACUGCAGCUGCCAACUUCACCAUUUUGCUGAUGUCACUAAGUGCAAGUUUGACUUUUCAAUUAGACCAUCUAUGCCUAAAGAGUAAGAGCUGUGGUUAAUCUUCAUAGUUGUGUUUUUCUCAGCAUUUAGUGUACAACUUUAUAUAAAAUUGAAUUCAAUGUAUAUUCAACUUGAACAGUGCUGUAUUCAUCAUUUACUGUACAUUCUAGUGUUAAGUCAUAUAUACAUUCAUUCAUUCAACAAUAUUUAUUGACCUCUUGUAUUCAAGGCAUGCCCUAGCUGAGUUAUAAGGGUGAAUCAUAGAGGUAAGAUUUCAUUCCUAAAGGAGUGAAUAUCUAAAGAAGGGAAGACAACAAUAAAUAACAUUAACAAAGCAA
Long non-coding RNA from Homo sapiens (human), 438 nucleotides. RefSeq lists it as uncharacterized. The transcript has 2 exons. NCBI's taxonomy places the organism in Eukaryota, Metazoa, Chordata, Mammalia, Primates, Hominidae. The record is from RefSeq and is a predicted model, not a curated record.